GACGAACGCUGGCGGCGUGCUUAACACAUGCAAGUCGAACGAUGAACCCGGAGCUUGCUCCGGCGGAUUAGUGGCGAACAGGUGAGUAACACGUGAGUAACCUGCCCUUGACUCUGGGAUAACUGCUAGAAAUGGUAGCUAAUCCCGGAUACGACCCUCGGUGGCAUCACCAGGGGGUGGAAAGAAUUUCGGUCAAGGAUGGACUCGCGGCCUAGCAGUUAGAUGUGGAGGUAACGGCCCACCAAGGCGACGACGGGUAGCCGGCCAGGAAGGGUGACCGGCCACGCUAGGACUGAGACACGGCGCAGACUCCUACGGGAGGCAGCAGUGGAGAAUAUUGCACAAUGGGCGCAAGCCUGAUGCAGCAACGCCGCGUGAGGGAUGACGCCCUUCGGGUUGUAAACCUCUUUUAGUAGGGAAGAAGCGAAAGUGACGGUACCUGCAGAAAAAGCACCGGCUAACUACGUGCCAGCCGCCGCGGUAA
RNAcentral lists this ribosomal RNA (484 nucleotides) under uncultured bacterium. Its description in RNAcentral is "partial 16S ribosomal RNA". It matches the Rfam family "Bacterial small subunit ribosomal RNA", at positions 28 to 523 of the family's 1533-position model. The record is from RNAcentral.